GGAUGAACGCUGGCGGCGUGCCUAAUACAUGCAAGUAGAACGCUGAAGGAGGAGCUUGCUCUUCUGGAUGAGUUGCGAACGGGUGAGUAACGCGUAGGUAACCUGCCUGGUAGCGGGGGAUAACUAUUGGAAACGAUAGCUAAUACCGCAUGACAACAGUUAUUGCAUGAUAACUGUUUAAAAGGGGCAACUGCUCCACUACCAGAUGGACCUGCGUUGUAUUAGCUAGUUGGUGAGGUAACGGCUCACCAAGGCGACGAUACAUAGCCGACCUGAGAGGGUGAUCGGCCACACUGGGACUGAGACACGGCCCAGACUCCUACGGGAGGCAGCAGUAGGGAAUCUUCGGCAAUGGACGGAAGUCUGACCGAGCAACGCCGCGUGAGUGAAGAAGGUUUUCGGAUCGUAAAGCUCUGUUGUAAGAGAAGAACGAGUGUGAGAGUGGAAAGUUCACACUGUGACGGUAUCUUACCAGAAAGGGACGGCUAACUACGUG
This 496-nucleotide ribosomal RNA is filed under the name uncultured bacterium. RNAcentral describes it as "partial 16S ribosomal RNA". It matches the Rfam family "Bacterial small subunit ribosomal RNA", at positions 27 to 507 of the family's 1533-position model. The record is from RNAcentral.